Molecule: ribosomal RNA, 433 nt
Filed under: uncultured bacterium
Lineage: Bacteria
Description: partial 16S ribosomal RNA
Rfam family: Bacterial small subunit ribosomal RNA
Source: RNAcentral
AGCGAACGCUGGCGGCAGGCCUAACACAUGCAAGUCGAACGAACUCUUCGGAGUUAGUGGCGGACGGGUGAGUAACACGUGGGAACGUGCCUUUUGGUUCGGAAUAACUCAGGGAAACUUGUGCUAAUACCGAAUGCGCCCUUCGGGGGGAAGAUUUAUCGCCAUUAGAGCGGCCCGCGUCUGAUUAGCUAGUUGGUGAGGUAACGGCUCACCAAGGCGACGAUCAGUAGCUGGUCUGAGAGGAUGACCAGCCACACUGGGACUGAGACACGGCCCAGACUCCUACGGGAGGCAGCAGUGGGGAAUCUUGCGCAAUGGGCGAAAGCCUGACGCAGCCAUGCCGCGUGAAUGAUGAAGGUCUUAGGAUUGUAAAAUUCUUUCACCGGGGACGAUAAUGACGGUACCCGGAGAAGAAGCCCCGGCUAACUUCGUG